GAUCAAGUGAAAUAAGGGCAAUUGGUGGAUGCCUUGGCAUGCACAGGCGAUGAAGGACGUGAUACGCUGCGAUAAGCCGUGGGGAGCUGCGAAUAAGCUUUGAUCCAUGGAUUUCCGAAUGGGGAAACCCACCUUAAAUGCUUGGGAAAUCGAGCGUGCCGGAAGGCACGCAGGUGAUUAGGAAUUAGUGAGUAGUGAGUAGUUUAAUCGACUAAUCACUAACUGCUACCGACUAUUCACUGCGCGUUUCGACGCGCUCGGUUUCCAAGCAUUGUGAUAAGGUAUCUACACCUGAAUACAUAGGGUGUAAGAAGCGAACCCAGGGAACUGAAACAUCUAAGUACCUGGAGGAAAGGACAUCAACCGAGACUCCGCAAGUAGUGGCGAGCGAACGC
RNAcentral lists this ribosomal RNA (395 nucleotides) under Pseudomonas sp. RNAcentral's name for it is "partial 23S ribosomal RNA". It matches the Rfam family "Bacterial large subunit ribosomal RNA", at positions 1 to 260 of the family's 2925-position model. Lineage: Bacteria; Pseudomonadati; Pseudomonadota; Gammaproteobacteria; Pseudomonadales; Pseudomonadaceae. The record is from RNAcentral.